RNAcentral lists this ribosomal RNA (253 nucleotides) under uncultured bacterium. RNAcentral describes it as "partial 16S ribosomal RNA". It matches the Rfam family "Bacterial small subunit ribosomal RNA", at positions 524 to 776 of the family's 1533-position model. The record is from RNAcentral.
UACGGAGGAUGCAAGCGUUAUCCGGAUUCACUAGGUUUAAAGGGUGCGUAGGCGGAAUAAUAAGUCAGUGGUGAAAUCUUGCGGCUCAACCGUAAAAUAGCCAUUGAUACUGUUGUUCUUGAGUUUGGUUGAGGUAGGCGGAAUGAGUAAUGUAGCGGUGAAAUGCUUAGAUAUUACUCAGAACACCGAUUGCGAAGGCAGCUUACUAAGCCGAAACUGACGCUGAGUCACGAAAGCGUGGGGAGCGAACAGG